RNAcentral lists this ribosomal RNA (502 nucleotides) under uncultured bacterium. Its description in RNAcentral is "bacterial SSU rRNA". It matches the Rfam family "Bacterial small subunit ribosomal RNA", at positions 28 to 526 of the family's 1533-position model. The record is from RNAcentral.
GAUGAACGCUGGCGGCGUGCUUAACACAUGCAAGUCGAGCGGAACGAUCUAGUGAACAUUUUUCGGAAUAGGAACUAGAGAAGUUUAGCGGCGGACGGGUGCGUAACACGUAGGUAAUCUGCCCUUAUCACCGGAAUAACACAGUGAAAAUUGUGCUAAUGCCGGAUAAAAUGUUUAGAAGGCAUCUUCAAGACAUCAAAGAUCCGUCGGAUAAGGAUGAGCCUGCGGCUGAUUAGCUAGUUGGUGAGGUAAAAGCUCACCAAGGCGACGAUCAGUAGCCGACCUGAGAGGGUGAUCGGCCACAUUGGAACUGAGAACGGUCCAAACUCCUACGGGAGGCAGCAGUGGGGAAUAUUGGGCAAUGGGCGCAAGCCUGACCCAGCAACGCCGCGUGAGCGAAGAAGGCUUUCGAGUCGUAAAGCUCUGUCCUAUGGGAAGAAAAAAAUGACGGUACCAUAGGAGGAAGCCCCGGCUAACUACGUGCCAGCCGCCGCAGUAAAAC